GGUUGAUUAGUUCAAUGGUAGAACAUGGUGUUCACUCCACCAUAACGAAGGUUCGAUUCCUUCAUUAACCU
RNAcentral lists this transfer RNA (71 nucleotides) under Pseudomonadota bacterium. Its description in RNAcentral is "Proteobacteria bacterium (activated sludge metagenome) tRNA-Val". It matches the Rfam family "tRNA". Rfam says of the family: Transfer RNA (tRNA) molecules are approximately 80 nucleotides in length. Their secondary structure includes four short double-helical elements and three loops (D, anti-codon, and T loops). Further hydrogen bonds mediate the characteristic L-shaped molecular structure. tRNAs have two regions of fundamental functional importance: the anti-codon, which is responsible for specific mRNA codon recognition, and the 3' end, to which the tRNAs corresponding amino acid is attached (by aminoacyl-tRNA synthetases). tRNAs cope with the degeneracy of the genetic code in two manners: having more than one tRNA (with a specific anti-codon) for a particular amino acid; and 'wobble' base-pairing, i.e. permitting non-standard base-pairing at the 3rd anti-codon position. Lineage: Bacteria; Pseudomonadati; Pseudomonadota. The record is from RNAcentral.